UAACACAUGCAAGUCGAACGAUGAUAGAGAGCUUGCUUUCUUGAUUAGUGGCGCACGGGUGAGUAAUGCAUAGAUAAUGUGCCCUUAGUUCGGGAUAGCCACUGGAAACGGUGAUUAAUACCGGAUACUCCUUCUUGUUAUAAGACAAGUCGGGAAAGUUUUUCGCUAAGGGAUCAGUCUAUGUUCCAUCAGCUUGUUGGUGAGGUAAUGGCUCACCAAGGCUAUGACGGAUAUCUGGUUUGAGAGGAUGAUCAGACACACUGGAACUGAGACACGGUCCAGACUCCUACGGGAGGCAGCAGUGAGGAAUAUUGCACAAUGGAGGAAACUCUGAUGCAGCAACGCCGCGUGGAGGAUGACGCAUUUCGGUGUGUAAACUCCUUUUAUUAGGGAAGAUAAUGACGGUACCUAAUGAAUAAGCACCGGCUAACUCCGUGCCAGCAGCCGCGGUAAUACGGAGGGUGCAAGCGUUACUCGGAAUCACUGGGCGUAAAGGGUGCGUAGGCUGGCUUUUAAGUCAGAUGUGAAAUCCAAUGGCUCAACCAUUGAACUGCAUUUGAAACUGAAAGCCUAGAGUUCAGAAGGGGCAGAUGGAAUUAGUGGUGUAGGGGUAAAAUCCGUAGAUAUCACUAGGAAUAUCAAAAGCGAAGGCGAUCUGCUGGGAUGAUACUGACGCUGAUAACACAUGCAAGUCGAACGAUGAUAGAGAGCUUGCUUUCUUGAUUAGUGGCGCACGGGUGAGUAAUGCAUAGAUAAUGUGCCCUUAGUUCGGGAUAGCCACUGGAAACGGUGAUUAAUACCGGAUACUCCUUCUUGUUAUAAGACAAGUCGGGAAAGUUUUUCGCUAAGGGAUCAGUCUAUGUUCCAUCAGCUUGUUGGUGAGGUAAUGGCUCACCAAGGCUAUGACGGAUAUCUGGUUUGAGAGGAUGAUCAGACACACUGGAACUGAGACACGGUCCAGACUCCUACGGGAGGCAGCAGUGAGGAAUAUUGCACAAUGGAGGAAACUCUGAUGCAGCAACGCCGCGUGGAGGAUGACGCAUUUCGGUGUGUAAACUCCUUUUAUUAGGGAAGAUAAUGACGGUACCUAAUGAAUAAGCACCGGCUAACUCCGUGCCAGCAGCCGCGGUAAUACGGAGGGUGCAAGCGUUACUCGGAAUCACUGGGCGUAAAGGGUGCGUAGGCUGGCUUUUAAGUCAGAUGUGAAAUCCAAUGGCUCAACCAUUGAACUGCAUUUGAAACUGAAAGCCUAGAGUUCAGAAGGGGCAGAUGGAAUUAGUGGUGUAGGGGUAAAAUCCGUAGAUAUCACUAGGAAUAUCAAAAGCGAAGGCGAUCUGCUGGGAUGAUACUGACGCUGA
This 1358-nucleotide ribosomal RNA is filed under the name uncultured bacterium. Its description in RNAcentral is "bacterial SSU rRNA". The stretch from base 642 to 1358 matches the Rfam family "Bacterial small subunit ribosomal RNA", at positions 1 to 749 of the family's 1533-position model. The record is from RNAcentral.